UCUCCUUCACCCCUCAUAUUGAAUCGUCCGGACAGGCCCGCAACUUUAGUAUUAAUUUUUCCAUUAUUUUCUAAUUUAAAACCUAUACUUGCAUGUUAAUUAUUAUUUUCGAAAUUAAAAAAGUUAAUUACAAAGUGCUUUCACGCCUCUCGCGCAAAUACUCACUGAAUAAAUUGCAUUGCUAAAUGAACAGUAAGGAUAUACAGCUGAGUAAAUCCUUGUCGUGGCUUUUACGACACGGAGCGGUAAAGGAAGGAUUCGACUUGAGUACAGCAGCAGCGACAUAAAGAGGGUCGUCCGAAAUAAUGAGAAACAGAGAUUUCACCUGAGAGUGAACCCGGACACCGGGGCGACAGAGAUCAAGGCUAACCAGGGACACAGCAUUGACAAAGUUACGGAUGUGGAGU
Cydia strobilella is the source of this 407-nucleotide long non-coding RNA. RefSeq lists it as uncharacterized. Lineage: Eukaryota; Metazoa; Arthropoda; Insecta; Lepidoptera; Tortricidae. The transcript has 3 exons. The record is from RefSeq and is a predicted model, not a curated record.